RNAcentral lists this ribosomal RNA (441 nucleotides) under uncultured bacterium. Its description in RNAcentral is "partial 16S ribosomal RNA". It matches the Rfam family "Bacterial small subunit ribosomal RNA", at positions 338 to 795 of the family's 1533-position model. The record is from RNAcentral.
CCUACGGGUGGCAGCAGUGGGGAAUAUUGCACAAUGGGGGAAACCCUGAUGCAGCAACGCCGCGUGAGUGAAGAAGGUUUUCGGAUCGUAAAGCUCUGUUAGCAGGGAAGAGGAAGGACGGUACCUGCAGAGGCAGCCACGGCCAACUACGUUCCAGCAGGCUCGGUAAUACGUAGGGGGCAAGCCUUGUUCGGAAUAACUGGGCGUAAAGGUUACGUAGGCGGUUAAACAAGUUAUAUGUUAAAUAUAUAAGCUUAACCUGUAGAAAGCAUAUAAAACUGUUUAACUAGAGUGCAGGAGAGGUAAGUGGAAUUCCUAGUGUAGCGGUGAAAUGCGUAGAGAUUAGGAAGAACACCAGUGGCGAAGGCGACUUACUGGACUGUAACUGACGCUGAGGCAUGAGAGCAUGGGGAGCAAACAGGAUUAGAUACCCGGGUAGUC